Molecule: ribosomal RNA, 314 nt
Filed under: uncultured eukaryote
Lineage: Eukaryota
Description: partial 18S ribosomal RNA
Rfam family: Eukaryotic small subunit ribosomal RNA
Source: RNAcentral
CCCUUAGAUGUUCUGGGCCGCACGCGCGCUACAAUGGCGGACUCAGCGAGUUACCUCUGUCGAAAGGCACAGGGAAUCUUUACAGUAUCUGCCGUGAUGGGGAUAGACCCUUGUAAUUUUUGGUCUUCAACGAGGAAUUCCUAGUAAACGCAAGUCAUUAACUUGCAUUGAUUACGUCCCUGCCCUUUGUACACACCGCCCGUCGCACCUACCGAUUGAAUGGUCCGGUGAAGUCCUCGGACCCAGUUGAACCUCGAGUUGAACAGGGAAAGUUGACUAAAUCUUACCAUUUAGAGGAAGGUGAAGUCGUAACA